UACGUAGGUGGCAAGCGUUGUCCGGAUUUACUGGGCGUAAAGAGCGCGCAGGCGGUCGUUCAAGUCGCGUGUGAAAGCCCCCGGCUCAACUGGGGAGGGUCACGCGAUACUGAUCGACUCGAAGGCAGGAGAGGGAAGUGGAAUUCCCGGUGUAGUGGUGAAAUGCGCAGAUAUCGGGAGGAACACCGAUGGCGAAGGCAGGUCUCUGGGCUGACACUGACGCUCAUGCACGAAAGCGUGGGGAGCAAACAGG
RNAcentral lists this ribosomal RNA (253 nucleotides) under uncultured bacterium. RNAcentral describes it as "partial 16S ribosomal RNA". It matches the Rfam family "Bacterial small subunit ribosomal RNA", at positions 524 to 776 of the family's 1533-position model. The record is from RNAcentral.